RNAcentral lists this non-coding RNA (141 nucleotides) under Nelumbo nucifera (sacred lotus). The record is from RNAcentral. Lineage: Eukaryota; Viridiplantae; Streptophyta; Magnoliopsida; Proteales; Nelumbonaceae.
GGGUGUGUUGAAAGAAGAGAUGGUUGGCAUCUCUUGGGAUAGGGAUGGAAACAGCCUUUGGUCAUACGACUCUUACCUGUUACUGCACAUACUGUCAACCAAAAGGUGUAAGAAGGACCCAACACCAGGCUAUUGUGUUUU